Molecule: long non-coding RNA, 146 nt
Organism: Zea mays
Lineage: Eukaryota; Viridiplantae; Streptophyta; Magnoliopsida; Poales; Poaceae
Exons: 3
Source: RefSeq, a predicted model, not a curated record
UCACCAGCUUCAUGGGGUAUUUGAGGUUGCCAGUUUCGGUGGGUCUAAUAUAGAUCCCACUGCAUGGGAGGAUAAGAAGUGUAAAGGUGAAUCUAGAUUCCCAGCGCAGGUGAGGAUCCGCGUUAGGAAGCUUUGCAAGCCGUUAU